Molecule: ribosomal RNA, 799 nt
Filed under: Streptomyces sp. pfB34
Lineage: Bacteria; Bacillati; Actinomycetota; Actinomycetes; Kitasatosporales; Streptomycetaceae
Description: bacterial SSU rRNA
Rfam family: Bacterial small subunit ribosomal RNA
Source: RNAcentral
AGAGUUUGAUCCUGGCUCAGGACGAACGCUGGCGGCGUGCUUAACACAUGCAAGUCGAACGAUGAACCACUUCGGUGGGGAUUAGUGGCGAACGGGUGAGUAACACGUGGGCAAUCUGCCCUUCACUCUGGGACAAGCCCUGGAAACGGGGUCUAAUACCGGAUACAACACUCUCGGGCAUCCGAUGAGUGUGGAAAGCUCCGGCGGUGAAGGAUGAGCCCGCGGCCUAUCAGCUUGUUGGUGAGGUAACGGCUCACCAAGGCGACGACGGGUAGCCGGCCUGAGAGGGCGACCGGCCACACUGGGACUGAGACACGGCCCAGACUCCUACGGGAGGCAGCAGUGGGGAAUAUUGCACAAUGGGCGAAAGCCUGAUGCAGCGACGCCGCGUGAGGGAUGACGGCCUUCGGGUUGUAAACCUCUUUCAGCAGGGAAGAAGCGAAAGUGACGGUACCUGCAGAAGAAGCGCCGGCUAACUACGUGCCAGCAGCCGCGGUAAUACGUAGGGCGCGAGCGUUGUCCGGAAUUAUUGGGCGUAAAGAGCUCGUAGGCGGUCUGUCGCGUCGGAUGUGAAAGCCCGGGGCUUAACCCCGGGUCUGCAUUCGAUACGGGCAGACUAGAGUGUGGUAGGGGAGAUCGGAAUUCCUGGUGUAGCGGUGAAAUGCGCAGAUAUCAGGAGGAACACCGGUGGCGAAGGCGGAUCUCUGGGCCAUUACUGACGCUGAGGAGCGAAAGCGUGGGGAGCGAACAGGAUUAGAUACCCUGGUAGUCCACGCCGUAAACGGUGGGAACUAGGUGU